Molecule: transfer RNA, 34 nt
Filed under: Hirudo orientalis
Lineage: Eukaryota; Metazoa; Annelida; Clitellata; Hirudinida; Hirudinidae
Description: partial tRNA-Leu
Source: RNAcentral
UUUAAACCCUAAAAAUGAAUUUAUUCUUAUAUAA